UACAGAGGUCUCAAGCGUUGUUCGGAUUCAUUGGGCGUAAAGGGUGCGUAGGUGGCGCCGUAAGUCGGGUGUGAAAUUUCGGAGCUUAACUCCGAAACUGCAUUCGACACUGCGGUGCUUGAGGACUGGAGAGGAGACUGGAAUUCAUGGUGUAGCAGUGAAAUGCGCAGAUAUCAGGAGGAACACCAGCGGCGAAGGCGGCACUCUGGGCUGGAACUGACGCUGAGGAGCGAAAGCGUGGGUAGCAAACAGG
RNAcentral lists this ribosomal RNA (253 nucleotides) under uncultured bacterium. RNAcentral describes it as "partial 16S ribosomal RNA". It matches the Rfam family "Bacterial small subunit ribosomal RNA", at positions 524 to 776 of the family's 1533-position model. The record is from RNAcentral.